Long non-coding RNA from Gadus macrocephalus (Pacific cod), 4235 nucleotides. RefSeq lists it as uncharacterized. The transcript is spliced from 2 exons. The record is from RefSeq and is a predicted model, not a curated record. NCBI's taxonomy places the organism in Eukaryota, Metazoa, Chordata, Actinopteri, Gadiformes, Gadidae.
UAAGGUCAUUACGAUGUCCAAAGUCACGCCCUUCCGUUACACGUAUGUCCUCUGCGUCCGGCUGACGCGUCCCAGACUGAGCCACCGUCCUCCUUGGACUAGGGACCGCAGCGGGACCCUGCAGUCCAGGAGGCGUCCUGGGGCCGGGCUUUGAGCCGGGGCCCUCGUCAGGAGCGCCCCCAAACCGAGGAGACACUCCUCAAUCAGGCCUGGCUGACUCUGUAGCAGAGCGUUGGGCGCCUGUAGACCCCAUGGGCCCCGGUAGACCCCCUAUAGACCCCAUGGGCCUCGGUAGACCCCUGUAGGGCCCGGGGCCCCUUUAGAACCAAUGGGGUCAAUGUAGCCCCCUGGGGGGCUCUGUAGACUGCGGGCCCCUCUAGACUGGGGGUCCUUGUAGACCCCUGGGUCCCCUGUAUACCCUUGAAAACCCUGGGGGACCCCUGCAGACCCGGGACCCUCGGUCCCCUGUCUUUAGACACAAGGGACUGCACUAGUCAGACUGCGGAUUGGUCUUUGGCUCCACCUUGAGAAGGGACAGUUCACAGAUUUAAAAACCUUGUUUCCUUCAAAUGUGAAGGAAUGACGAGACAGCGAACCAAAAACCUCCAAAGGGCUGGGCAGAAACCGAGUCAUUCGGGUCCAGAGCGGAGACAAGGCGGACAGUCCUUGUUCCACCUCUGGCUACUCUGAUGAGGGUUCGUGUCCCGGAAGUCAAACAUCUGAGCAUCCUUGAGAUGGUCAGGUGUUUUAGGAGGCUAUGGUCACGUCAUUCCCGCAAAAAGGAAAGCACAUGGAAACCAGGCUGAGAAUGGGUGGACUGCUGCUUUAAGCCUGCAUGGUGAGCACAUCACACUGGGCAUCGGGCCGCAGGGGAGAGGAGGCUUUGCCGCUGCUGUUGUAGUCAUCCAUUCUGAGUGAGCAGAAGGUGGAUGCUACAGGCACUCAAAGCCACUCCUCCGGCUGACGGCCGAAUGCCUGCGGGUUUGUUCCGUUGAGUGAUCGACUGCGAUGUUUCACUUGAUUUCAAACCUGACUGGCGCAUCUCUCUGUCAUUAUUUUAUCCUCAGAAAUGCAUGCGUUAGUAAUUUAACAAUAAAUAUAUUGUAUGUAAGAACCACUGGAAAGAAUCAAAGCAUUCAAACACUCUUUAGGCUCUGGGGAGCUGGACACGAUCUGGAACUUUAGGUGUUGGUGAGGUUCAUUAUUCUACAUCAUUGUGCAUACUCAAUGUUUACUCAUUAUACCAUACUUACUCAAAACUAGAGGAUUCAUUUAUGAUGGUUGACCAAUUAUUCACCUAAUUGAUCCAUUAUCAUUACUAAUGAAUAACGUGCCUUCUUUCCUUCCAUUUAGAAUUGCACGUCACACAUCGGGAAUACUUAAGUGUAGUCUUAGUUGAACAAAAAUAGCAAGGUUGUUAAGUUAGUUUUAAAUUAAAAUUGAAAGUAAUGUUGGCUCAUAUCAAUGUCACAUUAGCAUAACAUUAGCAUAGCAUUAGCAUACUGCUCCCAGCUGUUACCCAUUUACCUUGAAUAACUAAAGUACAAUAAGGUGACAGAGACCAGCUCAGUUGGAAAAGACACCCCUGUUAUCGUCUUCAACCCAAUCACUGAACGGCAGAGCUCCCUUCAGUGAUUGACUGACCAGGUAGUUCAUUCAAGAUAAACAUUAGUAACAAAUUAUACAAUCAAUACAUUCUGAGUUGUUUCGUCACUUAACAGAGGGUUAGCCCUUUAGAAGUUUAGCGGUGCAUUGAGAAAUGAGUAGGCACUUCAGAGGAUUCGUAACUUGUCAGUUUUUCUUCUACAAGGAUCAGAUGAAAGGUAAAGUCUCACUAGGUAAGAGCAGGACCUUCUCUCUCUACCGUCUCACCGUCUGCUGUGUGGAACACACACUAUAGACAACACACAGUGUGUAGAACACUGUGGAACACACACUGUGUACAACGCACUAUGUAGAACACACCGGGUACAAUACAAUGUGUACAACACAAUGUAUACACUGUUUGUAGAACAACACACUGCAUGGAGAACAGAGUGGAACACGCACUGUGUACAACACACAGUAUGUAGAACAGUGUGUACAUCCCACAGAUGUGUGCGUCUGAGACGGCAGAGUGGGAGGGUCCUGACGCAUGUUUUGUGCAUCGUAACGAGACCAGUGUAGACCACAUGCCUGAUGCCAGAGGUGUUCCUCUUGAUUGUAGCAUGCUGACGAUAGUGCAUGAGAUCGCAUGUCUGGCAUGACCGCACCACAGUGCACCACUAGGUCCUGGAUUACAUGAUAGUGCACGUGCACUACUGGGUCUUGGACUAUAUGAAUGUGCCCCACUAAGUCUUGGACUAUAUGAUAGUGCACGUGCACCACUGGGUGGACUACAUGAUAGUGCACAUGCACCACUAGGUCUUGGACUAUAUGAUAGUGCACGUGCACCACUGGGUCUUGGACUAUAUGAAAGUGCACAUCAAACUCUGCCCUAUUUAGGAGCUUGGAGCAGGAAGCAUCUAAGCCCUGUGGUCUCCUUAUUUAUAACAAACUUCCUCUUCUCUUUAGCCUACUUGAUUUAUAAAUAGCAUCGUACAGUCAUUCUUAAUAUAACUAAUCAUACCAUGAGUGAGGCAUUGUGGGAGUUGAAGUUUGUCCAGGGGCUUUAUAUAGGCCAGAGGCCUCCCAGAGGUCCUCAAACUGCAAAGUGUUUUCUUCUGAUUAUUUGUGUGUCUGUGUAUGUGUGCGUUUAUGAAUUUAUUUGCGUGUGUGUGUGUGUGUGUGUUAGGGUCAGCUAUGAAUAUGUAGAAUAAAGCAGAAACUAGGACAUGCAUGCCGUACUGGUGGUGCAUGGAAUGACGCGUGCUACAAACAAGGAGAAUGCCUCUGAAAGCAUGUGAGAAUGUAGAGUAUAGAAUAUAUAUGAAUAGAUCACAGUAUUUAUAAAUAGACAUUGAUUUGAGUAUAGAAUAUAGAGUAGAUAUCAGUAUAGAUGAGUAAAGAGUAUAGAUCAGAGUAUGGAAUACAGAGUACAUAAUGUACUCUAUAUUGUGCAUAGUAGCUAUAGAUUAUAGUAUUGAUUUGGGUAUAGAAUGUAGAGAUUAGAUCAUAUAACCUAUAGAUUUGGGUAUGUAACAUACAUUAAAAUAUUGAACCACAAAUUAGAGUCUAGCACCUAGGGAUUAGAGUUUAGAACCCAAGAUUAGGGUAUAUAACAGAUAUUAGUGUAUAUAACUACAGAAUAGGGUAUAGAAUGUAGAGAUCGCUGUUUAGAGGCUUUCCUCAUCUUUAUCAUCUGUAAUUCUUCAUGCUGAUCUUUCUUCCCCUUUAAGAAGAUGAAGAUAGAGGAGGAGGGGUGGGAGACGGAGAGGAGGUGUUGACCACACGUUUGGUCUGGACACUAAAGGAUAUCUAAACAACGUAGUGGUGCAUCUCUAGUUAGAUCUCUAGUUUGAUAGAAAAGGAGAGCUAGGUUUGUCAGUUUGAAGCCAAAAUCUAAGUGUCUACCAGUUAAAAAGACAAAUAAUUACAAUAGAACCAGUUCAAAACUGGUUAGUCAGUACCAGUUUAAAAUUACAAAUUAAUCCGCACCAGUUUAAGACUGGUACUAGUUAAUCAGUACCAGUUUGAAACUACAAAUAAUCCGCACCAGAUUAAGACUGCUACUAGUUAGUCAAUACCAGUUUGAAACUACAAAUUAAUCCGCACCAGUUUAAGACUGGUACUAGUUAAUCAGUACCAGUUUGAAACUACAAAUAAUCCGCACCAGAUUAAGACUGCUACAAGUUAGUCAGUACCAGUUUGAAACUACAAAUUAAUCUGUACCAGUUUAAGACUGCUACAAGUUAGUCAGUACCAGUUUGAAACUACUCCUUAAUCAGUUCCGGUUUAAGAAUGUUUCAAACAGCAUGGGUCGGUAAGUGAAAGUACUGCUGGAAGAAUUAAUGUGUGUGAACAUUUUCAUGCUUUUUGGUUUGUCGCCUCCGAACUCACUCACAAGAUGCAGAAAGAUAAGACACAACAGUGUUAUGUAUAUACUAAACAUUAUUAGUGCAUACAUAUUACUUUUUGAAUGGGGUUUUAAUAUUUCAAGGUUUAUAGGGAGUUACCUGGUUGAUAGGAACAUUCUAAGUGCAACUGGUCUGCGUAACUGGCAGAGAUGCACUUUGUGAUUUAAAAAAACAACGUUCAAACUAUUUGGUGAUGGAAGAGGAAGGAGUCUAACUCUGUUAAAAGAGUUGAGAUUCCAC